This 253-nucleotide ribosomal RNA is filed under the name uncultured bacterium. Its description in RNAcentral is "partial 16S ribosomal RNA". It matches the Rfam family "Bacterial small subunit ribosomal RNA", at positions 524 to 776 of the family's 1533-position model. The record is from RNAcentral.
UACGGAGGGUGCAAGCGUUAUCCGGAUUCACUGGGGUUAAAGGGUGCGUCGGCGGCCAGGUAAGUCAGUGGUGAAAUCUCCGGGCUUAACCCGGAAACUGCCGUUGAUACUAUCUGUCUUGAAUAUCGUGGAGGUAAGCGGAAUAUGUCAUGUAGCGGUGAAAUGCUUAGAUAUGACAUAGAACACCCAUUGCGAAGGCAGCUUACUACACGAUCAUUGACGCUGAGGCACGAAAGCGUGGGGAGCAAACAGG